Molecule: small RNA, 78 nt
Filed under: Salmonella enterica subsp. enterica serovar Thompson
Lineage: Bacteria; Pseudomonadati; Pseudomonadota; Gammaproteobacteria; Enterobacterales; Enterobacteriaceae
Description: partial RtT sRNA
Rfam family: RtT RNA
About the family: This family represents a bacterial cis-regulatory element known as RtT RNA. The exact function of RtT is unknown although it is thought that it may be involved in changing the cellular response in relation to amino acid starvation.
Source: RNAcentral
UGUAUCUGAAGUCUGACGAGGAUGAGAACCUCCGGGGGCAAGAGGUUCGACUCGAGCGAAGCGAGAGAACGUUGCGCC